This 2900-nucleotide ribosomal RNA is filed under the name Klebsiella pneumoniae BIDMC 24. RNAcentral describes it as "bacterial LSU rRNA". It matches the Rfam family "Bacterial large subunit ribosomal RNA". The record is from RNAcentral. Lineage: Bacteria; Pseudomonadati; Pseudomonadota; Gammaproteobacteria; Enterobacterales; Enterobacteriaceae.
UUAAGCGACUAAGCGUACACGGUGGAUGCCCUGGCAGUCAGAGGCGAUGAAGGACGUGCUAAUCUGCGAAAAGCGUCGGUAAGGUGAUAUGAACCGUUAUAACCGGCGAUGUCCGAAUGGGGAAACCCAGUGCAAUUCGUUGCACUAUCGUUAACUGAAUACAUAGGUUAACGAGGCGAACCGGGGGAACUGAAACAUCUAAGUACCCCGAGGAAAAGAAAUCAACCGAGAUUCCCCCAGUAGCGGCGAGCGAACGGGGAGCAGCCCAGAGUCUGAAUCAGCUUGUGUGUUAGUGGAACGGUCUGGAAAGUCCGACGGUACAGGGUGAUAGUCCCGUACACCAAAAUGCACAGGCUGUGAACUCGAAGAGUAGGGCGGGACACGUGGUAUCCUGUCUGAAUAUGGGGGGACCAUCCUCCAAGGCUAAAUACUCCUGACUGACCGAUAGUGAACCAGUACCGUGAGGGAAAGGCGAAAAGAACCCCGGCGAGGGGAGUGAAAAAGAACCUGAAACCGUGUACGUACAAGCAGUGGGAGCACCUUCGGGUGUGACUGCGUACCUUUUGUAUAAUGGGUCAGCGACUUAUAUUCUGUAGCAAGGUUAACCGUAUAGGGGAGCCGCAGGGAAACCGAGUCUUAACUGGGCGUUAAGUUGCAGGGUAUAGACCCGAAACCCGGUGAUCUAGCCAUGGGCAGGUUGAAGGUUGGGUAACACUAACUGGAGGACCGAACCGACUAAUGUUGAAAAAUUAGCGGAUGACUUGUGGCUGGGGGUGAAAGGCCAAUCAAACCGGGAGAUAGCUGGUUCUCCCCGAAAGCUAUUUAGGUAGCGCCUCGUGAACUCAUCUUCGGGGGUAGAGCACUGUUUCGGCUAGGGGGUCAUCCCGACUUACCAACCCGAUGCAAACUACGAAUACCGAAGAAUGUUAUCACGGGAGACACACGGCGGGUGCUAACGUCCGUCGUGAAGAGGGAAACAACCCAGACCGCCAGCUAAGGUCCCAAAGUCAUGGUUAAGUGGGAAACGAUGUGGGAAGGCACAGACAGCCAGGAUGUUGGCUUAGAAGCAGCCAUCAUUUAAAGAAAGCGUAAUAGCUCACUGGUCGAGUCGGCCUGCGCGGAAGAUGUAACGGGGCUAAACCAUGCACCGAAGCUGCGGCAGCGACACUAUGUGUUGUUGGGUAGGGGAGCGUUCUGUAAGCCUGCGAAGGUGUGCUGUGAGGCAUGCUGGAGGUAUCAGAAGUGCGAAUGCUGACAUAAGUAACGAUAAAGCGGGUGAAAAGCCCGCUCGCCGGAAGACCAAGGGUUCCUGUCCAACGUUAAUCGGGGCAGGGUGAGUCGACCCCUAAGGCGAGGCCGAAAGGCGUAGUCGAUGGGAAACAGGUUAAUAUUCCUGUACUUGGUGUUACUGCGAAGGGGGGACGGAGAAGGCUAUGUUAGCCGGGCGACGGUUGUCCCGGUUUAAGCAUGUAGGCUGGUUGUCCAGGCAAAUCCGGAUAAUCAAGGCUGAGGUGUGAUGACGAGGCACUACGGUGCUGAAGUAACAAAUGCCCUGCUUCCAGGAAAAGCCUCUAAGCAUCAGGUAACAUUAAAUCGUACCCCAAACCGACACAGGUGGUCAGGUAGAGAAUACCAAGGCGCUUGAGAGAACUCGGGUGAAGGAACUAGGCAAAAUGGUGCCGUAACUUCGGGAGAAGGCACGCUGGUGUGUAGGUGAAGUCCCUGCGGAUGGAGCUGAGACCAGUCGAAGAUACCAGCUGGCUGCAACUGUUUAUUAAAAACACAGCACUGUGCAAACACGAAAGUGGACGUAUACGGUGUGACGCCUGCCCGGUGCCGGAAGGUUAAUUGAUGGGGUUAUCCGUAAGGAGAAGCUCUUGAUCGAAGCCCCGGUAAACGGCGGCCGUAACUAUAACGGUCCUAAGGUAGCGAAAUUCCUUGUCGGGUAAGUUCCGACCUGCACGAAUGGCGUAAUGAUGGCCAGGCUGUCUCCACCCGAGACUCAGUGAAAUUGAACUCGCUGUGAAGAUGCAGUGUACCCGCGGCAAGACGGAAAGACCCCGUGAACCUUUACUAUAGCUUGACACUGAACAUUGAGCCUUGAUGUGUAGGAUAGGUGGGAGGCUUUGAAGCGUGGACGCCAGUCUGCGUGGAGCCAACCUUGAAAUACCACCCUUUAAUGUUUGAUGUUCUAACGUUGGCCCCUUACCGGGGUUGCGGACAGUGUCUGGUGGGUAGUUUGACUGGGGCGGUCUCCUCCCAAAGCGUAACGGAGGAGCACGAAGGUUAGCUAAUCCUGGUCGGACAUCAGGAGGUUAGUGCAAUGGCAUAAGCUAGCUUGACUGCGAGCGUGACGGCGCGAGCAGGUGCGAAAGCAGGUCAUAGUGAUCCGGUGGUUCUGAAUGGAAGGGCCAUCGCUCAACGGAUAAAAGGUACUCCGGGGAUAACAGGCUGAUACCGCCCAAGAGUUCAUAUCGACGGCGGUGUUUGGCACCUCGAUGUCGGCUCAUCACAUCCUGGGGCUGAAGUAGGUCCCAAGGGUAUGGCUGUUCGCCAUUUAAAGUGGUACGCGAGCUGGGUUUAGAACGUCGUGAGACAGUUCGGUCCCUAUCUGCCGUGGGCGCUGGAGAAUUGAGGGGGGCUGCUCCUAGUACGAGAGGACCGGAGUGGACGCAUCACUGGUGUUCGGGUUGUCAUGCCAAUGGCACUGCCCGGUAGCUAAAUGCGGAAGAGAUAAGUGCUGAAAGCAUCUAAGCACGAAACUUGCCCCGAGAUGAGUUCUCCCUGAGACUAUAAGUCUCCUGAAGGAACGUUAAAGACGAUGACGUUGAUAGGCCGGGUGUGUAAGCGCAGCGAUGCGUUGAGCUAACCGGUACUAAUGAACCGUGAGGCUUAACCUU